UAGUCCACGCCGUAGACGGUGGGUACUAGGUGUGGGUUUCCUUCCUUGGGAUCCGUGCCGUAGCUAACGCAUUAAGUACCCCGCCUGGGGAGUACGGCCGCAAGGCUAAAACUCAAAGAAAUUGACGGGGGCCCGCACAAGCGGCGGAGCAUGUGGAUUAAUUCGAUGCAACGCGAAGAACCUUACCUGGGUUUGACAUGCACAGGACGCCGGCAGAGAUGUCGGUUCCCUUCUGGCCUCUGUUCAGCUGGUGCAUGGCUGUCGUCAGAUCUCGUCUCGAGAUAUUGUGGUUAAUCUCCGCCAAGGGGCCCAACCUUGUUUUCAAUGUUGCCAGCGGGUAAUGCCGGGGACUCGUGAGAGACUGCCGGGGUCAACUCGGAGGAAGGUGGGGAUGACGUCAAGUCAUCAUGCCCCUUAUGUCCAGGGCUUCACACAUGCUACAAUGGCCGGUACAAAGGGCUGCGAUGCCGCGAGGUUAAGCGAAUCCUUUUAAAGCCGGUCUCAGUUCGGAUCGGGGUCUGCAAC
RNAcentral lists this ribosomal RNA (525 nucleotides) under uncultured bacterium. RNAcentral's name for it is "bacterial SSU rRNA". It matches the Rfam family "Bacterial small subunit ribosomal RNA", at positions 791 to 1311 of the family's 1533-position model. The record is from RNAcentral.